Molecule: ribosomal RNA, 253 nt
Filed under: uncultured bacterium
Lineage: Bacteria
Description: partial 16S ribosomal RNA
Rfam family: Bacterial small subunit ribosomal RNA
Source: RNAcentral
UACGGAGGGUGCAAACGUUGCUCGGAAUCAUUGGGCGUAAAGGGCGCGUAGGUGGUUCUGUAUGUCUACCGUGAAAGCGUACGGCUCAACCGUAUUUUGUCGGUAGAAACUGCAGGACUUGAGGCUGGGAGGGGCUGGUGGAAUUCCCUGUGUAGCGGUGAAAUGCGUAGAGAUGGGGGAGAACACUCGUGGCGAAGGCGGCCAGCUAGACCAGUUCUGACACUGAGGCGCGACAGCGUGGGGAGCAAACAGG